Molecule: long non-coding RNA, 458 nt
Organism: Alligator mississippiensis (American alligator)
Lineage: Eukaryota; Metazoa; Chordata; Crocodylia; Alligatoridae
Exons: 2
Source: RefSeq, a predicted model, not a curated record
ACCACUGCACGAGGGGGAGGGGGGGGUAUGUACUACGCGGCGCCUCCCGGGCCAAACCACUGCACGAAUGGGGAAGGGAUGUACCACUGCACGGAGAGGGGUGGGAUGCACCACGCGGUGCCUGCCGGCCGGGCCAAACCACUGCACGAGGUGGGGGGCGUCUCCGCGGGUCCAACGAAGGAUCGUCUCCGACCCCAAAGUUGUAGAUUUCCGCGUUUCUUUGUGUCUCUGCCAAAGACACCCUUGCAGACGGACGGGCGUUUUGGAGGCAGCUAAUUGACACCUAAUUGGGACAGGUCGUUGAUGCGGCACAUCCCCCCGGGCAGCCGUCAGCCCUUCUUACACCCGCUCGUCUCCAAGCAAAGCCACGCUCCGACUCGGCCCGGUUCGCACUCACUCAUCGCCAACUGGCAGUGAGCGAUAUAAAGCGAAUAAAAAAGCGUCUUGUUUGCAUCGUU